Carassius carassius (crucian carp) is the source of this 583-nucleotide long non-coding RNA. RefSeq lists it as uncharacterized. The record is from RefSeq and is a predicted model, not a curated record. NCBI's taxonomy places the organism in Eukaryota, Metazoa, Chordata, Actinopteri, Cypriniformes, Cyprinidae. The transcript is spliced from 3 exons.
UUCAUUUGCCACCGCCUACUGGUGUAACAGUUAAUCACGUUCUUUAUUUCAACAGCAAAGAAUGGUUAUUUGCAAAAUGUUUAAAGACUCAGAUGCAAAAUGUCUAAAGGCCCAGAUAGUUCCGCUGAACUUUGAGAAGAGUGUAACAUGAAAAUCCACAACAGAAAGGAAGGAUAUUGUUUUAAGGAGGACCGUAUGUUCGAACAUGGAAUCUUUAACGUUUUUAGAGAAAACAGUGUGAAUGUUAACCACAGGUCAUGGUGUCAGUGGAGGGGCCGACUGGAGUUUUGUAUGGCUGCAAGAAUACUGAUGUGAAUGAGUACAUACUGAACCCAGUGAAGAAGGUCAGAACCUGACAGAAAAGAAGAUCAGAUCAGAAGUCGUGGACAAAAAGGUUGUGACCUCUUUUGAUGUUCAGCAACAUGCAGGAAUAUUUUGUCUGGUUUCUUUUGGCAUGCCCUGCAUUGUUCAAUACAAAGGUCAGAUAACCGACAUCAUCUCAGUGUGUGAUCUGACAUGAAACUGUGUUAUGAGGGAAUAGUCCUAGGAGAUAAAGAAAUAAAGCAUGAGAGCUUGCACACAA